This 497-nucleotide ribosomal RNA is filed under the name uncultured bacterium. Its description in RNAcentral is "partial 16S ribosomal RNA". It matches the Rfam family "Bacterial small subunit ribosomal RNA", at positions 28 to 507 of the family's 1533-position model. The record is from RNAcentral.
GAUGAACGCUGGCGGCGUGCCUAAUACAUGCAAGUCGAGCGAACGGACGAGAAGCUUGCUUCUCUGAUGUUAGCGGCGGACGGGUGAGUAACACGUGGAUAACCUACCUAUAAGACUGGGAUAACUUCGGGAAACCGGAGCUAAUACCGGAUAAUAUUUUGAACCGCAUGGUUCAAAAGUGAAAGACGGUCUUGCUGUCACUUAUAGAUGGAUCCGCGCUGCAUUAGCUAGUUGGUAAGGUAACGGCUUACCAAGGCAACGAUGCAUAGCCGACCUGAGAGGGUGGUCGGCCCCACGGGAACAGAUACAGGGCCAAGACACCCACGGGAGGAGGCAGUAGGGAAUCUCCGGAAUGGGGAGAAAGCCUGACGGACCACCGCCGCGGGAGGAAUGAAGGUUUUCGGAUCGAAAACCUUUUUUAUGGGGAAAGAAAAUAUGUGAAAGUAACUGUGCACUUCUGGAGGGUACCUAAUCAGAAAGCCAGGGCAACCUCCGUG